CAGGCUUAACACAUGCAAGUCGAGGGGCAGCAUGGUCUUAGCUUGCUAAGGCCGAUGGCGACCGGCGCACGGGUGAGUAACACGUAUCCAACCUGCCGUCUACUCUUGGACAGCCUUCUGAAAGGAAGAUUAAUACAAGAUGGCAUCAUGAGUCCGCAUGUUCACAUGAUUAAAGGUAUUCCGGUAGACGAUGGGGAUGCGUUCCAUUAGAUAGUAGGCGGGGUAACGGCCCACCUAGUCUUCGAUGGAUAGGGGUUCUGAGAGGAAGGUCCCCCACAUUGGAACUGAGACACGGUCCAAACUCCUACGGGAGGCAGCAGUGAGGAAUAUUGGUCAAUGGGCGAGAGCCUGAACCAGCCAAGUAGCGUGAAGGAUGACUGCCCUAUGGGUUGUAAACUUCUUUUAUAAAGGAAUAAAGUCGGGUAUGGAUACCCGUUUGCAUGUACUUUAUGAAUAAGGAUCGGCUAACUCCGUGCCAGCAGCCGCGGUAAUACGGAGGAUCCGAGCGUUAUCCGGAUUUAUUGGGUUUAAAGGGAGCGUAGAUGGAUGUUUAAGUCAGUUGUGAAAGUUUGCGGCUCAACCGUAAAAUUGCAGUUGAUACUGGAUAUCUUGAGUGCAGUUGAGGCAGGCGGAAUUCGUGGUGUAGCGGUGAAAUGCUUAGAUAUCACGAAGAACUCCGAUUGCGAAGGCAGCCUGCUAAGCUGCAACUGACAUUGAGGCUCGAAAGUGUGGGUAUCAAACAGGAUUAGAUACCCUGGUAGUCCACACGGUAAACGAUGAAUACUCGCUGUUUGCGAUAUACUGCAAGCGGCCAAGCGAAAGCGUUAAGUAUUCCACCUGGGGAGUACGCCGGCAACGGUGAAACUCAAAGGAAUUGACGGGGGCCCGCACAAGCGGAGGAACAUGUGGUUUAAUUCGAUGAUACGCGAGGAACCUUACCCGGGCUUAAAUUGCAGAUGAAUUACGGUGAAAGCCGUAAGCCGCAAGGCAUCUGUGAAAGUGCUGCAUGGUUGUCGUCAGCUCGUGCCGUGAGGUGUCGGCUUAAGUGCCAUAACGAGCGCAACCCUUGUUGUCAGUUACUAACAGGUUCCGCUGAGGACUCUGACAAGACUGCCAUCGUAAGAUGUGAGGAAGGUGGGGAUGACGUCAAAUCAGCACGGCCCUUACGUCCGGGGCUACACACGUGUUACAAUGGGGGGUACAGAGGGCCGCUACCACGCGAGUGGAUGCCAAUCCCCAAAACCUCUCUCAGUUCGGACUGGAGUCUGCAACCCGACUCCACGAAGCUGGAUUCGCUAGUAAUCGCGCAUCAGCCACGGCGCGGUGAAUACGUUCCCGGGCCUUGUACACACCGCCCGUCAAGCCAUGGGAGCCGGGGGUACCUGAAGUGCGUAACCGCGAGGAGCGCCCUAGGGUAAAACUGGUGACUGGG
Molecule: ribosomal RNA, 1432 nt
Filed under: uncultured organism
Description: 16S ribosomal RNA
Rfam family: Bacterial small subunit ribosomal RNA
Source: RNAcentral